Oncorhynchus mykiss (rainbow trout) is the source of this 143-nucleotide small nuclear RNA. Its record names the gene U4. It matches the Rfam family "U4 spliceosomal RNA". Rfam says of the family: U4 small nuclear RNA (U4 snRNA) is a component of the major U2-dependent spliceosome. The structure of U4 snRNA from yeast and human has been reported. The record is from Ensembl. NCBI's taxonomy places the organism in Eukaryota, Metazoa, Chordata, Actinopteri, Salmoniformes, Salmonidae.
GUUCUUUCGCAGAGGCGAUAUCAUAGCCUAUGAAGUCCAUCUGAGGCGUGAUUAUUGCUGGUUGAAAAACUUAACCCAAUACCCCGCUUGGGAUGACUUGAAACAUAGUCAGCCUUGGCAAUUUUUGAUAGUCUCAUGUGAGA